GGGAGACAGUGCUAGUAUUUUCCCAGUUUCACAGCUGGGAAACGGAGGCUCUGAGACGCUGAGUGACUUGUCCAAGGUUCUGAGACUUGGAAGGGCAAUGUUGACAUUUGGAUCCAGGACUCCGAAAGCGUGUGUGUACAACUACCAUGCCACCCUGCCUGCCCAGCCUCUAUCCUGAAGAGCGUUGGACCCUGGAGCUGCUGGCCACAUCUUGAUCUGCCAUAUGUGGUCCAAGAAUGAAGUCAACACGAAGGAGAAUGAAGGUGCUGAGGGAUAAAGUUAUUGACAUUCUAGGAGCUCCUGGAUCAAACCAUGCCUGAACUCAAUUUAUCCCUUGAACUUUUCAAUUACAUGAAUAAAUCCUCCUUUUGCCUGAGUCAAUGUGGAUUAGUAUCAUUGGCAUUCAGAAGAUUCCUAAAGUCUCAGGUCUUCUGCACAUCUAUAACCAUGGCAAUUGCGG
RNAcentral lists this long non-coding RNA (460 nucleotides) under Homo sapiens (human). Its description in RNAcentral is "HSALNT0360346". Lineage: Eukaryota; Metazoa; Chordata; Mammalia; Primates; Hominidae. The record is from RNAcentral.